This 946-nucleotide long non-coding RNA is filed under the name Cercocebus atys (sooty mangabey). RNAcentral describes it as "lncRNA (ENSCATG00000045440.1)". Lineage: Eukaryota; Metazoa; Chordata; Mammalia; Primates; Cercopithecidae. The record is from RNAcentral.
ACUGAUUGUGAACUUUCGUCCUCUAGAACGGUGAGAGGAUCAACGCUGCUUGAAGCCACCAGUUUCUGGGAAUUUGUCACAGCAGCCCAGGAAACAGAUGCGCAAGGUUUGGAGAUUGGUCUUUCCAUGUCUAGGGUGCAUGGUGCCCAUUUCAACACUGUCUGCCCUCAGUGGCACAUUUGGGCUACGUUGACUUCGGCAAUGGUGAGGGAAAUGCAAAGCCAAAGCCCAACAAAGCAAUUUGAAAUUCCAAACCUGCGACCACUGGACAAGAUCACCUUUCUCCCACUGAGAAGCAGAUCAGCAUUGGCUCAGGCUGAGUCUGGGAGACAGACAAGGUCUCCUUUCAACAUCGUGCCUCCAGGGAAACCAGGCCAACUAUCGGCCCUCCAGAGGCAGCUGCAACCCUUGGAGACCUCCCCACUGAGUCCAUACCCCUGGCCCAGGGCACUCAGGCUGCUUGACCAGCCCUGCCCCCUGGCCAGCCUCAUUUCCUCCUGUUCUCUUGCUUGGUGCCCCUAGCAGCAGUCUUGCACCUGGUCCACUGCCUCCCACGCCAGGGCCUUUGCCUUCGCUGUUCCCCUGCCUGGCAUGGUCUUGUCAUUCAGGGCUCAGCCUGAAUGUCACCUCCUCCUGGAAGCCUUCCCCUUGUCUCAUUAUGUCCUACCCUAUCACCCUGUUUCUUUCCCUUGGGUCACCAGUAAGAACCUGGAUUGAGUGUGUGCAGCUGUCUUUUCUUGUCUUUGCCUCACUAAACUGUAAACCCUUUGACAAUAGGGAUCUGUCUGGUUUGUCUGCCGUGUAACCCCAGCUUCCAGCCUAGCACAGAGAAGGCUCCAUGGAGACACUGACUGUCAGAUGACUGCAGACCUCCCCACAAGGAGGAGGGAAGCUGGCCUCCAAGGAGGCGUAUCCCACGGUGCAGUGGUCUCUGGCCGGGGUGGGU